GUCUAUAUAGAUUAUUUUUAAAUCAUGAUGCUGUUAACUUCAAGAAGGGGUUAUCCUCUGUAGUCG
This 66-nucleotide transfer RNA is filed under the name Drepanidotaenia lanceolata. Its description in RNAcentral is "tRNA-Asn". Lineage: Eukaryota; Metazoa; Platyhelminthes; Cestoda; Cyclophyllidea; Hymenolepididae. The record is from RNAcentral.